CGGAGAAGGCGCAUGAGAGUCGGAGCCCGGAGAUGGGGACUGAGACAAGGCCCCAGGCCCUACGGGGCGCAGCAGGCGCGAAAACUCCGCAAUGCGCGAAAGCGUGACGGGGGAACCCCAAGUGCCGCUGUACUUUGUACGGCGGCUUUUAAGGAGCUUAAGGAGCUCCCUGAAUAAGGGCUGGGUAAGUCUGGUGCCAGCCGCCGCGGUAACACCAGCAGCCCAAGUGGUGGUCGCGUUUAUUGGGCCUAAAGCGCUUGUAGCCGGGUCGGUAAGUCCUUUGUGAAAUCGGGCGGCCUAACCGUUCGGCUUGCAAGGGAUACUGUCAGCCUUGGGGUCGGGAGAGGUCGGAGGUACUUCGGGGGUAGCGGUGAAAUGCUGUAAUCCCCGGGGGACCACCAGUGGCGAAGGCGUCCGACCAGAACGAACCCGACGGUGAGGGGCGAAAGCUUGGGGAGCGAACGGGAUUAGAUACCCCGGUAGUCCAAGCCGUAAAGCAUGCGGGUCAGGUGUAGAGCGUUCCUAGAGGGCGCUCGGUGCCGUAAGGAAGCCGU
Molecule: ribosomal RNA, 554 nt
Filed under: uncultured organism
Description: bacterial SSU rRNA
Rfam family: Archaeal small subunit ribosomal RNA
Source: RNAcentral